AGCCGGGCCUGAUUAGGGCCCCUCCCGCUGGCGGCCGCGGGCGCUUUGAAGUGAGCCGCUGCCGGGCCGCUCCGGCCGCCUGGCCGUCCCUGCCGCCAGGCCGUCGGUCCGGGGCUGGCGGCGGGGCCGGCGGCGCGUGUUUAUCCAGGUACCACCAGGAGCCCUGGCAUCAUCAGAAUCUUAUUAGAAAUGUAGAAUCUCAGGCCCCUCCCCAGACCUGCAGAGUGAAAUCUGUUUUUUAAAAGAUCCCUGGUGAAUUGGACACGCAAUAAAGUUUGAGGACGCUAACAUCUGGUUAAAAGUCUGCUAUUGCCACUGUGUGGGAACCUGUCUUUGGGAAGCUGCACCUCCUUCAUCGGAUUGGCAAGAGCUGAGCCUUCUCCAUCAGACCAGCUAUGCUUCCAGAGCAGAAGCUGUGCUUCUGGGAUCUUCCCGAGGACAGGGAUUGAUCCUCCCCAAUCAAACUGGGAAUCUGGCAGAAGCAGAGGUGGUUCUUGGUCGCAGGCCGGAAGCUCGCCUGAAGCUUGUGGUGCCACCCCCGUCUGACUGGCAGUCCCCAGGAUCCCCUGUGAAACUUGGCUGGCUUUGGGGUCGAGAGCCACCUGCAAGGAGAGGUAUCUGUUCGCGUUUUCCAAGAGGAUGGAGAAGCCAGAGCGGAGAGAUGGGCCUGUGUUGCGAUUCUGGCCAGUGAAGCAUGAGAAAAAAUCAGGGAAGGGGCCCUCCUUGGCUUAAAAUGAGGCUCAAGGUUAACAGGAUAUCUCCUUUCUCCUGCUUUGGCUAUUACUGUGUGAGGUCAUGAUACUUGGCGCAGCUGCAGCCAUUCUGUAACCAUGAGGUGACAGGUCUCUAAGCGUGGCAGAGCAGAACCAGCAGAAACAUGGUGGUUGGAAGUGGUGAUGCACUUGAACCAAUGAACUGACCAAACCCAGAAGGCCCACUCUUUGGACUCAUUGGCCUGUGAGAUGACACAUUUUUCUUGCUGUGUCUCCUAAUGUCUGGCUUAAUAGAAGACAGCUGGGUUCUCAUAUUGGCUUCUGCGUUCAAUUUGUUCCAAUAUCCCAUGUCAUGAAGCCCCUGGAAAACUCCGCUGUGCAAAUCCUGGGAGAACGAGAGUGAGAAAAGCACCGGCCAUCGCGGGAUUUGUAUUAGUUUUCUGUGGCUGCUGUAACAAAUGACUGUAACCUUGGUGACUGACAGCAGAAAUGUAUUCUCACAGUUCUGGAGGCCGCCAGCCUGACGUCCAGGAGUUACCAGAGCUGUGCGGUUCCCAGAAACUCUAGGGGAGAACCUGGCCCUUCCCUCUGCUGGCUUCUGGUGGCUGUCCAUGUCCGUAGGCUUGCGGCUGUGUCACUUCAUUCUCUGCCUCCAUUUUCAUAGCACUGUGUUUAUCUUAUGACAUUUGUCAUUGGAUUCAGGGCCCACCCAGAUCAUCUGGGCUUAUCUCCUCAACUCAAAAUCCUUAAUUGUAUCUGCAAAGACCUUUAUUUUUUAUUUUUUAUUUUUUUGCAAAGAAGUUUUUAUUCAGUUUCUGGGGAUUAGGACAUGGGCCUAUCAUUUUGGGGACCACCAUUCAACCCACUACAGUAUUAUUACAAAAAUAAUUCAGCCUGUGGAACCCCUGAAAGAGUCGUGGGGACCCCUGGGGUCAGACUUUGGAAACCAGGGAUCUAUGACUUCCACACAUAUAUAAGUAGGCAGAUGGUGGAAGGAGGGCCAGAUACACGUAGCCUAAUAAUCCGAUGAAAAUAAAAUUUCUAGAUAGAGUCCUAGAGGGAAUAUUCCAGCAAAGGGGAAUGAGAGGUGUCCAGUGUGUGAGAGAGGACCGGGGCCAGUGGAAGACCAGAGAUUGGGGGGGAAGAUGGCAGGCGAAGGGCUUCUAAGUACAGGAAUGCCUAGUUUGGGGUUGUUCCUGUGUGGUGCCAUGCUAUGACCCCCCCCCCCCCCCCAGCGCCUGAAAACUGAUCCAGGCUGAUAUUCACCAAGAGCUCUGCGUGAAUGAUGCUGAUGCUGGUGGAGAGAGGGACAGUCCAGGGAAGCAGCGGCUGGGGCUCCUAUCUGAGGCAGUUACAAGACAGGACGUGGCAGGCAGGAUGGUGACAUGACCCCACACUGACCAGGUCAGAUAAGAACUCAGAGGGCAGGGGUGCUGGAGAAAAUCUAAGAGACACCCCCAAGAUUGUGAGAGAGAGGGGUUCCCAUCUUCAAGUCUGUGUGAGAGAGUAGCCUCGCUGCUUGGUCGGCAAAAGUGGAUGAGCUUCACAGCUCAAAGGACGGGCACCCUUAACCAAUAUCCAAGUGAUUGGGUUGAGUGGGACCAGGAGCCCAGGAAAGAGAUGGGCGAGACCCUUUUGCAGGUGCCACCCCCCCCCCAAGCGGCCCAUGAGGAGUCCCAGAACCCCUAAGGCAAGUGGAUCACAUUUAAAACAGAUUAAUCCCUCCCUCCUCACUUUACAAAUGGGAAAUCAUAAAGAGAAUGGCUGAUGAUUGUCACGUCAUACCAAUGCAAAAAAAAAAACCCAAACCAAACCAAAACAAAACAAAAACCCUCCACAAAACCC
Long non-coding RNA from Felis catus (domestic cat), 2558 nucleotides. RefSeq lists it as uncharacterized. The record is from RefSeq and is a predicted model, not a curated record. The transcript is spliced from 5 exons. NCBI's taxonomy places the organism in Eukaryota, Metazoa, Chordata, Mammalia, Carnivora, Felidae.